GAGACAAAAUUGACUUUUGAGAGACAAAAUUGACUUUUGUGAGACAAAGUUGACAACAUUGAAUUUUGUCUCACAAAAGUCAAUUUUGUCUCACGAAAUUG
This 101-nucleotide small RNA is filed under the name Mytilus galloprovincialis (Mediterranean mussel). Lineage: Eukaryota; Metazoa; Mollusca; Bivalvia; Mytilida; Mytilidae. The record is from RNAcentral.